CGACGUACUUCAUAGGAUCAUUUCUAUAGGAAUCGUCACUCUUUGACUCUUCAAAAGAGCCACUGAAUCCAACUUGGUUGAUGAGUCGCAUAGCCUUUGCACCCAAGAGUGAGAAUAAGGAUUGUUCACUAGCUUGGUCCACAACCUCAUGGUUUGGCCAUCUAUUACAACUUUGCUUUGCCUUUGCAAGCAGAGGCUACACCUUUUUAGGUAUAGCCUCUGCAGAAAAGGCGCGAUGAUCUUGGCCCAUGUUUGUGUACAUCCUCGUGAUGGACAAACCUGGGUGGGAGCGAAUGGCAGUCUGACAAGU
Molecule: small nuclear RNA, 310 nt
Organism: Eremothecium sinecaudum
Lineage: Eukaryota; Fungi; Ascomycota; Saccharomycetes; Saccharomycetales; Saccharomycetaceae
Source: RefSeq, a predicted model, not a curated record